UUCACUACAUCUGCUUGACAGAAGACAGCAUUGUAAUAAAUCAUUUAUACUGUUGUUGUUCCAAGUUGCAAUAUAUUGUACAAUGCCAAAGUUAUAUCAUAAUAUUACACAAAAUUAUUUUAUAUAUUUUACUUAAUUUUCCAGGUCCGCACAACACAUCAUAAGCUAGCUGUAUGGACGAGAUUUGCACAACUGCUAUAUUAAAAUAGUUUUGACUACUUCAUAGUUCAAUAUAUCAUGCUUCAAGAAUGUGAAGUCUACGAAUAUGUAUUUUUGAAUGAUACACAGGUAAAAAAAAAAAAGUCAUUUCCAAAUAUAGUCUUGAUAUGAGAAAGGCAGGCAGCAGCAGAAGAGGAAAUUCAUUUCUCCCUUUAGUUAAAAAGAUAAAGAACCUUACAUUAGAAUUAUUAGCUGGUGACCUAAGUAAUGGCGUGAAUGGAGCAAUUAUGGGUGCACGCCACUGAGUUUCCUGUGGACGGAACAGCAAUAGCUCAGCCCAUCCUAACAUUUUUAAGAGCAACGGGAAGAAGUCAAUCCAAUAUAUUUGAAAGUAUGACAGCACAUUAAUGAUUAGUAGCAAUCUGUAUAAACUAGGCUAGCCUUAACAUGUUGCUGGCUCCAUAGCGGAGGAGGCGCUGAUUUCCGCGUUCGCCUCUUUUCCAGCAACGCCACGCCAUCCGUCUCCAACCGAGAGCGGAUUAAGCUCAUUGUUUUCCGGCCUUGUUUCAGGAGAAUGAGACGCGCACGUACAGAGGAAGGAGAGGAAAACAGCGAAGACCGUACUCUGAAUCAGCCAUCGCCGAUGCUGGCCCAAACGAAGGCAGGGAGCACCACCCAACCCAACUGCGACGCUUCUCGCGUCCACGCCUCUGCUCAAGUAUGCUGACAAUUAACAAAGGAGGGCGGGGGGAGUACUUCUGGUGAAGCAACAAGUCUCAGAAAUACUUCAUGGCACGCGGGUAGAGGGAGAGGACGCUCCAGCCAUGGAAAGCCCAGACAAAGCUCACAAAUAGCUUAAAUCCAGCGCUUCAAAGGUUUCCUUCGUACAUAUCCGUCCUAUUUCGAAAGUUCAUCAAUUGCCACGCCCUUUACUUCUGAAUAAACACGGAAUACUCCAGCUGGUUCAUCAGCUUUGGGAUGAAAGAAAAAAGCGAAAUAAACCCAGUCCGGCUCUUUCUGGGCGCAGCCCGUUGACUCAGGUCAGAGUGUAAUCUCCGGCUUCGUGGCAUGACGACCCCUCCUCCAUAGGACGGUUCCCACGCACCUUUCUCCCGUUCCCCUCCGUAUACCUGACAGCCCCUCACAGAGCGCGCACGCCUCGUCCGCGAGGGAAAUCUUCCCGCAGAAACCACGUGGUCGUGAAGAGCGACGGAUGCGCUCGCGCCCACCCAGGAGCCCCGGAAAGAUCAAAGGGGAUACCUGACGGUCGGAGGCGACUCCGCUCUUCGGCGGAGACUUCCUUGCGUGGUCAGACCCCACCCUCGAUGGAGAUCUCAGUCGGCGUGAGAACGCCCGGGUGUUUGGACAGUUCAAAGUUUUCCCUUCGAGGCGAAAAAGAAGCACCCUCGAGUGGGUCGCUUACGUGGAUUCCACGGCGCGCAACUCCGAGCGGCCUUCGCGGAAGAGAGGGAGGUGGCAGGCGGGGGAAGCGCUGCUCCCAACAACAGCCGCAGCAGGUAGCAGCGCUUGCGUGGGUUUGGAAGCUAAGAAAGGUCGGCCUACUCUGGAGCUCAAGGCCGUGGAGAUGGCCCUUUGUCCUCCCGUUUUAACAGAGCAACAAGUGUUGCAAGAUUAGCAGAAAAGAAGAUGGAUAGCCUUCAAAUUGCUUUGGGGUACUAAGGAACAGAAACAGUGGCUGGAUACAAAUAAAAUAGACAACUGUUUUAAAAACCUCUUCCUGUCACAUUCAGUGGGAGAGAAUUCUUUUACCUAAGCAUGUCAUGACAUAGUGUAUUAUUUAAACCAGGUCAUUGUGUAUUCAUUCUCUGUGCUGACAUAUUCCACCAACACCGUUACCCCUUUCAGUUAUUCUUCUGCAUAUCUUUGCAACAGUAUGUGAACUUGUUUAGUCACAGGAGGAAGAUACCAGGUGUUCAGCUAGUAUGGAGGCCUUCUGGUAAAUCCUGUUUUCCCUAAAGCAAAUCUCUAUGCAGGAUUAUACCCUGAAGCAUUCUUUUGUAUUAUAUGGACCUGUUUGGGCUUGUUGUAUGCAGUCAGUUUUUUUCCCCCUUUGAACUCUUGUUUCUAAAAAAAGUAACCUUUCUGUAAUUCCAGAUUCUUGGAAUAUUUGUACUGACUAGGUUUAACUUUAGGUUUCUUAGUAUUACUUUUGGAAUGUAGACAAAACCUGUCUACAUAUUUGUUUUACCUAUCAUAGUUUCUUGGGUUUGACAACUUAUAUAAAGCUGUGUACUGUGCAAUAA
Molecule: long non-coding RNA, 2423 nt
Organism: Python bivittatus (Burmese python)
Lineage: Eukaryota; Metazoa; Chordata; Lepidosauria; Squamata; Pythonidae
Source: RefSeq, a predicted model, not a curated record